RNAcentral lists this ribosomal RNA (233 nucleotides) under uncultured bacterium. RNAcentral describes it as "partial 16S ribosomal RNA". It matches the Rfam family "Bacterial small subunit ribosomal RNA", at positions 28 to 247 of the family's 1533-position model. The record is from RNAcentral.
GACGAACGCUGGCGGCGUGCUUAACACAUGCAAGUCGUGCGGUAAGGCCCUGCUUUGGUGGGUACACGAGCGGCGAACGGGUGAGUAACACGUGGGUGACCCGCCUUCAGCUUUGGGAUAAGCCUGGGAAACUGGGUCUAAUACCGGAUAUGACCUUGGGUGCAUGCCUUGGGGUGGAAAGCCUGUGUUGUUUGGCAUGGGUGGCUGGGGAUGGGCCCGCGGUCUAUCAGCUU